Molecule: non-coding RNA, 23 nt
Filed under: Mus musculus (house mouse)
Lineage: Eukaryota; Metazoa; Chordata; Mammalia; Rodentia; Muridae
Source: RNAcentral
UAGACUCAGCAUUUCCCACAGUC